Molecule: ribosomal RNA, 253 nt
Filed under: uncultured bacterium
Lineage: Bacteria
Description: partial 16S ribosomal RNA
Rfam family: Bacterial small subunit ribosomal RNA
Source: RNAcentral
UACGAGGGGUCCAAACGUUAUUCGGAAUCACUGGGCUUACAGAGUUCGUAGGCGGUUCUACAAGUGAGGUGUGAAAGCCCUCGGCUCAACCGAGGAACUGCGCUUCAAACUGGAGAACUAGAGGGAGAUAGAGGUGAGCAGAACUGAUGGUGGAGCGGUGAAAUGCGUUGAUAUCAUCAGGAAUACCGGAGGCGAAGGCGGCUCACUGGGUCUCUUCUGACGCUGAGGAACGAAAGCUAGGGGAGCAAACGGG